Molecule: long non-coding RNA, 3466 nt
Filed under: Ovis aries (sheep)
Lineage: Eukaryota; Metazoa; Chordata; Mammalia; Artiodactyla; Bovidae
Description: lncRNA (ENSOARG00000026449.1)
Source: RNAcentral
AUGCAUUUGUGUGCUGUCUUAUUUCAUGAAAAUGUGGAAAUAGUUUUCCAUUCUGACAAUCUGCUGCAAGUUCCUAGUUUGUGGUCGGAGAUGAUAGAAGCCCAUAUUCAUUUAAUACUCACCAAUCAGAACUUGACAGAGCUUUUGAGGUUUCUAUCACGUAGUCUUUGGGAGGAAGGUGAAGAACGUAGACUGUCUUGAUGGAAAAUGACUAUCAGUUAUGUCUUUGAUAUCCAGCUUUAUCUUUUGACACAAAUGCUUAAGCAAUAGCAAAACUAUCAGACCAGGGGAUGUUGAGAAGUAUAAAAUAUAUUCCCCCAGGGUGUCUAAAUUCUCCCCACUGAUAAAAUCAUUUAAAUAUUUCCUGUUUUUAAAAUCAAUACUUCAAUUACCUUAUGCAUGGAGUAAUUUCAAGAAUAAGGUCCAUACUGUUAACUGCAGGUGAUUUUUCUUUGAGUAAAAAAAAGAAUUAGGUUAUCCUGAGUUUGUGGGGAGAGGAGUUGAGAAGUCUCAUUUAGUGAUGCUGAGAUGGUUCAGAAGGAUAGUAGUUGCUCCAAUAUGAGGAGCAACAAUAUAAAUUAAAAAUUUAAGUGCCCAUAAUGGGAAUUUAUCACAGAAGACUCUAGUGGCCUUUAUACAGAAAACAAAAAAUCACAAUACAACAACAAAAAAAAACCCAUUUGAUCCUGUGUGAGCUCUGAUUGGUAAAAGAGGUGUUUUAGAGUAAAGCAAUUAUAUAGAGUUUAUUUCAUCCUAAUUUACAAUUUUUUCAUUACUUCCUUUCCAUCAUUUUAAAAGAUAACAAGUCAUUUACCUCUCUCUAAUCUCAUUUUUCAUUAAAGCACUACCCAAACAGGAAAACUGGUAGAUAAUAUAAUUAAAUAUUUCUUCAAACUAUGUCUCUUGUAAAGUGGGAAGCAAGUUUAUUCAGAUCAUCAGCUUAAUUUGAAAGUGGAAAGAAAAAGUGCAAAAAGUUUAGUGUGAUACAUUCAAAAGCUAUGAUUUCAUCAGAGUCUGUCUCUGAGCCAUUAUGCUUUACUCCAAUUGAUCUCUACAGAAAGGAGUAAGGAGACAGACUUCCAGAACCUACUAGAAUGGCAUUGGAUCAUUUCAUACCCUAAGUGAAUUUUACCAAAAGGCCCAGCAAUAGAGGGUCUGUCACAUCGGGCACAUGAAGUAUUUUGCAGGAUGCUGGUGUGCUAAAUGGAAGAAUGCCCCAAGUUCUAAGUGACUGGGGUAUGUUACUGCCCUUUUUAUAGCUCAAAUAUUGACAGUCGCAAGUUGAGUUGCUCUAUUUAAAAAAGAAAAAUCACUGCAUAAAUGAAAUCAAUUUAUAAAUAUUUAUAAACUUAUCUCAUUAAUCCUUUUCUGGUCUAGUGUCAUGACCAGCUGCAUAAGUCCAUGGAAUUAAAAAUAAUAAAUAAAGGAAACUCUUGAAGGAGUCUGCCUAUGGUACUAAACUUUACCAAAAGUGACGAAGCUCAUGCAGCUUUUCUGCUCAUAGUUAAGUUGCAGUGACAGUUCAAGCUUCCUGAGGCUUAGAGUGGAUGAAGUAUAUUUGACUUAUUUAAAUUUUUGAUGGUAUUCUUCAGUGUAGACAUCAUUCAUCCAUCUUUUUCACAUCUGUCACAGUAUUUCGGGUUCUUUUUUCUCACACUCAGAUGAUUGCUACCCACUUCUUACUGUCUCCUGUCUUUCUGCCUUCAGUUGGUGGAUGAUUUUAAUCCAUCCUAUACAUAGUCCUUGGAUUAAUAACUAGUAUAUGCUCAGGAUUUUUAUCAAUCUCCAAGUUUAAACAACAGAAAAAUCAUUGCUCCCCAUUUUAGUUCAGAUUUCUUUGCAGAAGUUCAAUACAUCUUUUGUGAGGUCAGUCAAGGAUUGGUCCAAACCUACCUUCUGGCUCAGGUUGGUUUUCUCACUGUUCCCUAUCUUUUGUGGAUUUCAGUGGUGUACCUUGAGAGCCUAGACUUAGAAUCAGUCCUUCUUAGUGCUUUAGGUUAUUACUCUCUGUUAGCUAGAGUUCAUCCUCUGGCCAAAAUCAAGUUGCUAUCCAGAUUCUAGCCCAGUCUUUCUCAAUCAGAGUGAUAUUGCCUUCCGGGAAACAUUUAGCAAUGUCUGGAGAAAUUUUUGUUGGUCACAGAGUAGGCACUUGCUACUGGCAUUUAGUUGACAGAAACCAGGGAUGCUGCUGAAUACCCUGUAAUACACAGGACAGCUCUCAAAAUGAAUUUUCCAGCUCAAAAUGUCGACAAUGCCAAGGUAGAGAAACUCUGUAGACCUAUUGCUAAUUUAAAUUUGUCUAAUCUCAGACCAGCUCUUUGAAUACAGUUACCUGCUGCCUCUUGAUAGGCAUUGCUUUUCCCCUCCCUUCUUUGUCUUUGUUUCUGUUUUCAGUUUGGAGUAUCUUCCAACAAAUCAGCAAGUGGUUUUAACCUAGUGAAAUUCUGCCCAUUCUUUCAAGCUCAGCUAGAUGUUAUCUACUUCAAAACAAAGACUUUCUGACUAUUCCAUUCAAUGGAGUUUAGUUUUUUUCUUGUCUGAUAUUUUUAUGGCAAAACCAACUUAUAGGGUGCUUCUGUCUAUGUCUUAUUCUCCAUUCUAGAUAUUUAAAUGUUGUGUAGCUCAAUGUAUAAUACAAAGUCAAGAAACAUGGCACCCAAGGACCUUUGACUCUGUCUGUAGAGUUUUGCCUCUUUAAACUAGCAGAAUCAUAACUUAACAUUGCCUUUUUUCUCAUCAAACAUUAUAAUAUGCUUUUUUUUUCUUACUGCUACAGUCUCUAAAAUUAUUUUAAUAACUAUAUAAUAAUCAAGUUGAUAUGUUCUAAUCUUGCUUUUAAGUUAACUGGAUUUUAUUUCUUGAUAAAAUAAGUAAUGAAACAUUGCAUAUCUUUGGUAUAUAACUUUUUUACCUUUUCAUCUGAAAUAUUCCCUUUAAACCAUUCCAAGGAAUGGUCCAAAUGGUCUGGCAUGUUUUUAUUGCUAGUGAUAUGUGAAGCAAGGUCCAAUGCUGUAAAGAGUAAUAUUGCAUAGGAACCUGGAAUGUCAGGUCCAUGAAUCAAGGCAAAUUGGAAGUGGUCAAACAAGAGAUCGCAAGAGUGAAUGUCGACAUUCUAGGAAUCAGCGAACUAAAAUGGACUGGAAUGGGUGAAUUUAACUCAGAUGACCAUUAUAUCUACUACUCACCAGAUGGUCAACACUGAAAUCAGAUUGAUUCUAUUCUUUGAAGCCAAAGAUGAAGAAGCUCUAUACAGUCAACAAAAACAAGACCAGGAGCUGACUGUGGCUCAGAUCAUGAACUCCUUAUUACCAAAUUCAGACUCAAAUUGAAGAAAGCAGGGAAAACCGCUAGACCAUUCAGGUAUGACCUAAAUCAAAACCCUUAUGAUUAUACAGUGGAAGUGAGAAAUAGAUUUAAGGGCCUAGAUCUGAUAGAUAGAGUGCCUGAUGAACUAUGGAAUGAGGUU